CCUACGGGAGGGCAGCAGUGAGGAAUUUUCUGCAAUGGGCGAAAGCCUGACAGAGCAAUACCGCGUGAGGGAUGAAGGCCUACGGGUUGUAAACCUCUUUUCUCAAGGAGGAAGAACUGACGUUACUUGAGGAAUAAGCAUCGGCUAACCCUGUGCCAGCAGCCGCGGUAAUACAGGGGAUGCAAGUGUUAUCCGGAAUUAUUGGGCGUAAAGCGUCUGCAGGUUGAUAUUUAAGUCUUUUGUUAAACCUCCAGGCUUAACCUGGAAUCUGCAAAGGAAACUAUUUAUCUUGAGUAUGGUAGAGGUAAAGGGAAUUUCCAGUGGAGCGGUGAAAUGCGUAGAUAUUGGAAAGAACACCGACAGCGAAGGCACUUUACUGGGCCAUUACUGACACUCAGAGACGAAAGCUAGGGGAGCAAACAGGAUUAGAUACCCUGGUAGUCCUAGCUGUAAACGAUGGAUACUAGAUGUUGUUUAUUUUUAAAAUAAAGANAGUAGUCGUAGUACUAACGUACGUUAAGUUAUACCGUCCGUCGGUAAGGUAGUAGUCGUCGCGAAGAGUAGAAACGUUAAAAGGUAAAGUUAGUAACGGUACGUGUUAGAGUAGCCGAACGGACGACGACGAGGGAGGUUAGGAG
RNAcentral lists this ribosomal RNA (638 nucleotides) under uncultured bacterium. RNAcentral's name for it is "bacterial SSU rRNA". The stretch from base 1 to 531 matches the Rfam family "Bacterial small subunit ribosomal RNA", at positions 338 to 873 of the family's 1533-position model. The record is from RNAcentral.